AUUGAACGCUGGCGGCAUGCCUUACACAUGCAAGUCGAACGGUAGAGGGGGCAACCCCUCGAGAGUGGCGAACGGGUGAGUAAUGCAUCGGAACGUGCCCAGUAGUGGGGGAUAGCCCGGCGAAAGCCGGAUUAAUACCGCAUGAGACCUACGGGUGAAAGGGGGGGAUCGCAAGACCUCUCGCUAUUGGAGCGGCCGAUGUCAGAUUAGGUAGUUGGUGGGGUAACGGCCUACCAAGCCGACGAUCUGUAGCUGUCCUGAGAGGACGACCAGCCACACUGGGACUGAGACACGGCCCAGACUCCUACGGGAGGCAGCAGUGGGGAAUUUUGGACAAUGGGCGAAAGCCUGAUCCAGCCAUGCCGCGUGCGGGAAGAAGGCCUUCGGGUUGUAAACCGCUUUUGUCAGGGAAGAAAUCCUUUGAGCUAAUACCGCGGGGGGAUGACGGUACCUGAAGAAUAAGCACCGGCUAACUACGUGCCAGCCGCCGCUGUAA
Molecule: ribosomal RNA, 496 nt
Filed under: uncultured bacterium
Lineage: Bacteria
Description: partial 16S ribosomal RNA
Rfam family: Bacterial small subunit ribosomal RNA
Source: RNAcentral